CCUUCCCUCGGCUUAUGCGCCGAUUCCAUCGUACUUGAGGGGAUGGGGGGAAGUUGUGGGUUUCCUUGCUCGCCGUGGUGGCGGGUGGGAGCUAAGCGGAGCCCCGGUGUCGCGCGAGCGGUCCCGGGCAGGCCCUCGCCGCGGGACGGGACAGGGAGGAGGGACGGCCGGGCGGGGAGUUCUCGCAGCGCCCUGACUGCCCGCUAAGCCGCCGCCUCCCCCCCACGGCGCGGGCGGUGUGCGCGGACCCACGGCGGCGGCCAGUCCGUGCGGCGCGGCCGGGCGGGCUCGUUCACCUCCUUGGGCUGCGGUAGCUGGAGAGCUGCCGCCGUGAGCGCGGCACGUCGAAACAACCUCUGGCAGAUCAUUUGCUGUCUCUUCUUACUGCAGCUGGUUUAGAUACUGAGGUUUGGAGGAGUCUGAACGAUUUCGGAAGUAAGCGUGUUUUGGCUCAGACCGAGAACAGGAAAAGCUCAUUUAAGGUAAAAUUGAGGGAGACUUUAAGGUACAAUGGAGAGAUAUGGCAAGCACGUAAGUUAAAAAGAGUUGGUGAGAGGAGAGAAGGCACCCGGACUCCCAUGUUGCUGUGGUGUGCAGUCAGACAGACCAAGGACACAAACCCUACAAAGGUCAGUCCAGCCUGGAGUUGUGGAGAUGGGGUCUGAACUCGGGGAGGACAAAGGCAAGGACAGAGGCACACUGGAGACAAAAGAAAGAGGGAGGGGGUGAGCAAGAAAUAGCCCGGGACAUGCAAACAACAGGGAGGCGCAAAGAGAGUACUCUGUGCAUCAUACAAGUCAUCUGAAAGAGAAGGCAACCUCUUUAUUAAAUCUUGUCUGGGAUUGCAUUUUUCUUGCUUCCUGUUGGGUUGGAGAUUAUAUGGCAAAGGUGGAUGGUAUUGGUCACUUUUUCCAAGCGUUACUGUUGAAUAUUUAACUCUUACCUUGAUAUACAGUAACUAACUUUUUUACCAGACAAGGCUUAAAGACAGAAACUAGUGAAUCUCUAAGUGAUAUGACAAGUAAGGAUGUAUCUUUUGAGAGCAGCAGGAUUUUGAUAAAGUAACAUUCCUCUCAACAUGUGUUUUUCCUAGCACAAGUCAUGGGGUUCAGGGGAAAUAGAGCAUAUUCUUUACAAUCAGUGAUAAAGAUGGGUCUUAGAAUGAAUCCCAUUCCAAUCACCUCAGCAAAGAUCAUUGCACACAGUCGUCCACUCAGCUCCUGCACUGAGAACAGCAUGUAGAAAUGGUUAAUGACUUACAGCUUCACAUGGCAACAAUUGAUCACAAUUUCUGAAUAAAAAAAUAUUCACCCUUCAAAUCUGGCCUUCCUGAAAAUUGCUGUUGCCUAGGUAAUGGGAUAUUUUGCAAAUCACUUGGGCCAAAUUAAUCAGAUAAUGUGUAUCUGCCUGACUCUACUGGAGUGGUGCUACACAGCUAUAUACUAAAUGAAGACGUCACCUAACAAUUUCAUGUAACUUAUUAAAACCAGACCCAAGAUUUGUUUAGAACUUUUAGUGAAGCUGGUACGUAUCUGUACUGCCUGACAGCCACUUUGAUGGAAAUUUUUUUCCUUUAUAUAUAUAUAUAUAUAUAUAAGUAUAAUGUGAUUUUAAUACAAUAUUGUUUCUGACAAGUUGAUUUAUUAUUCUGAACUACUGAUAUGGCAUAUACCAUACCACCAUCAUUGUCUGAUCACAGCUCCUUAUGUAAUUCUUAUAGAUCAUUCUUGUAUGUUAUAAUCUCUUUCCAGCUUUGAACUUCCAUCAUCCUUGUCAAGAUCUGGAAGUGCAGCUCAGAAUAUAGCAAUGGCCACAAAUCAGUAGUGGGCAAGUGCCACAGCAAUAUAUUUUAAUAUUUAUUCCUUUCACUUCAGUGUGUAGAACUCAAAAUACGUUGAAUCUUCAUGUAAACUUCUAAAAAGAAAAACGUUUAUUGUUUUUCUAAUGUGGAACCAAAUGUGUAAGAAAAGAUUCUUCAAGAGUGAUCUUGACACUUGAGUGCUACAAAGCUUUCCAGUAUUGGUUGAUGGUAUUGUAAAUCAGGGAGUCUGAUGUGAACAACAUUUCUUAGAACAAGUUUUUUUCCAGACUAGGACCUUUAAAUAUGAAGUUUGUCAUUACACAGCCAUUAAAUUACCUGAUUUUCAAAUGCUGGUUACCCAGGACUGUAUCUAUUCUGCUUUAAAGGUUCAUUCCAUUAAAGGCAACCCAGACUGGAAAGUCACGUCUUAAGGUCCCUUCAUGAGGGAACACCACAUAGGAUGCCCUCAGCCCAUCUCAUAAGCUCUGUCAGCAUCUUCUCUUAAGGACUUUUUAACACUCUCCCUGCACCCCGUCCUAUCUGUAUCAUGAUCAAACAUACCCCCAUGAGACAACUGAUAGUUUCAGAUAACAGUAAGUAUCUCAGAACAAAGUGAAAGGAGCUGAAAAGCUUCUGCCAGGGAACAGAUCCUGAUAACUGAUUGACAGCUGUACCAGAUUGUUAAGCUCUGCUUGGGAGGCCCAUGCAGCCAGUCUGUGCACUGCAUUAGGCAUCCUGAUGGGACAGAGCAGAGAAUACGCCAGAAGACCUGAGCUAUCUUGGUGCUUCUCCCCUGUCAUUCCACACAGGCUGUGCUCAUGAUGGCUUCAACAAUUUUCCAGGAGGCCCCAGAAAUGGCUGGGGAAUCUAAACCUGUCAAUGCCCCCCCAGCAUAGGGAAAUAACACACUGCAUAGGAGCUAGCUGUUCCUGAGGAAGUCAAAUAGCAAAAGACAGGUUUUAAUAUGAGCAUCUAAUAUUUUCUAUCAUCUGUCCAGAUUCAGCAACUAAUACAGAAAAACAGCAGCAUAAUCUGUUACUGAUAUUGUAUAGCAAGUACAGCGGUCUAAAGUUAUAACUCGUCUUAUUCGAUUUUCCCUGUGAUUUUAUAAAAUCACCACAGGAACUUUAAUGAUAGCAAAUGGUUAUAAGGCAAGUUUUGUCUCUCAUCUGAAAGAGAUGAAUCAGUCUACUUUUAUACAAAGUUAAUGUUUAAAUUAUUCACUUCCUAACCAGUCAUCAACAAUAAGUGUUACUUUGCAGCCAGGGGCUAGGUGCACAGACAGGAACUACAAGCCCAAGUGUUUCUGUAAGGUACUUGCAGCCAGCAUUUCGGCACUACUGAUAUUCACAGUUCUGUAGCUCGUUAGCCACUUGCUGCCAUACGAACCUAAAACUUCUAGGGCCCCAAAUGUUUGCUGAUUAAAUCCCAUAGGUACUUCAAUUUCUGCUACCGGGCACACACUUCAUGAAGGGAGAAUCAGGCUUGCCCAGCAUCAGACCAGGGCAUUCGUGAUAAAAUACGCAGCUGAAGACAGCUUUUGUCCCAAACUAUUUUCCUGAGCUUCAGACUGUCUUUCAGAUCCAAGUAAGCCAGUAGAUCUUGAGGACAUCAAUCCUACAGAUGAUUUAGAUGGUUUCAAAGAUGCUCAGAAAUAAAGAAAAAACAUCAUAAAGAAUCUAAUGGAGAUACCUGGAAAUUACUAUUAGGAUCACUGUAUUUAAUUUGAAACCACUUGAAUGAAUAAUUCCAGACUGGCGUUAGAAAUUAGUUUUGCAGUAAGAAGAAGUUGUCUUAAAUUGACACUCACAGGCCUGGAUUAGAGCUCAGCUACAUUUCUAAAUCCAAUUUCUUGUUAUCUUUAAAGUCUGUAUUUGGAAUUGUUUAUGAUUUUGUAAUGAAGACUAUUUUUUGUGCAGCAUACGGAGUGAUAAUGUAAAAGCAGAAAAGAUGAGAAGAGUUAGAAAGUAGCAAGUCAGAGUUCUGAAAAAAAUCCAGACUGAUUUCUUUUAGCUUACAACAUUAUGUAAAGAUUUCAAAUUUAAAAACAGAUACAAAGGUUACUCUAAAUUUCAGUGCACCCAGCUUAACCUCUCAGAAUUCUGCAAGCUUUGGGAAGCAUUUUAGACAGACAACCUAGGAUGAAAGUGUAAUUUCAGUCAAAACAUAUCACUACUCCGAGUUAAUUAAGGAAUGAGUUGCUCAGAGGUAUAAAUUUUCACAAUAAAGUGUUUCACUUACAUUCCACUCCACUGUGAGAGCGCAAUUUUGUACUAUCAUAGUUAUAGUACAAAAACUGUGAAACUUAACAGAAAAGUUAACCGUUGCUAGAAGGCUGUAACAUCUCAUUGUACAUUAAUUUACUGGUAUCUUUUUAAAAAAGGAGCACAGUUUCUAUCAUAUUUAUUACUUCUUGUGAAUGACUUCAAGGGAUGUCAUUCUUCUGAUUUAAAGCAAAACCUGGAGGCUGGUAGUUUGAUUACUAGGAGGAUAGUUCAGUUUCUUUAAAGUGAUUAAGGUUAAAAUCGUAAGCAGCCAAGUUAUUUUUGUACACUGAGCUUUUUAUUUUUUCCUAGUAGUCAUGUAAUAAACCCUUUUUAGUUAUUAGGUAGUUUAGGUGGAGGGAAAAGCUUUGUGUGAACUUCGACUAGAUUGCAGAAAAAAGAUAUCUAAAGAUAUCUUAUAUCUGCAAAAGAUAUAAAAUGAGAGUCAGACAUUGAUUGUAAUUAGGGUACUUAUCUCUGUUUCCACUCCAGAUUGUAUGACAAGUGACUGAAACAAGUCUAUGUCUGCUUUCCCAGUACAAGAACAGCCACAGGAGUAUUAACUUCUAUAUAAUUAAUAUUUUAAAAAUAUAAUAUGCAUGGAAUGUAUUAAAAUGACGUUUUCUGAAUAUAGUUCUCUCUUUACUGCAAGGUUGAACUGCUAAUUGUCUAAAAGCAUUUUUAACAGAGACUUAACAUUACAGAUUAUAGCUUGGUGGGUUAAUCAAUUUCUGCUUUUGCAUUUUGAAGUUACAAUUAAUUUUGGGAGAGUGAAUACUCUAGGAAAUGAAUAUGUAUCAGGGAGGAAAGAAAUCUGUUUCUUACAUUAUAGGCCAGCAAAACUUUGCAAAUUAUCCUGAAUGUUAAAGUGCAUGUCUCUGGCUUAUUUAUGGAAAUACAGUUUGCAUUUAGUCAUAAAAUGUCAGUGAAGUAACCUUUUGACUUUGAUCUGCCUUUUGGGUUAUAACUUAGAAUUUCUCAGUGAUAAUAACUUUCGUGGAGCAUAAGCAGAAAACUUAAGCUAAGUUCUCCAGAAAAUCAGAAUUUAAAAUGUCAAAAACAUAAAGGUGCUUUGUGUUUAAAUUUAUAAUUAUCUUUCUGUUCAGGCUGAAUAAAUGAUUUUGACAGGAGGCUUGAAAUCUUUCUUUCCACAUGUGCUAAGAAGAAUAAUUCAAUGCAACAGACUCAGUAAUAUUUCUGGGAUGGCGGAGGGCUAUAAACAGGCCAGUGUCGUGAUUUUGCACAAGUCCCUGGCUGAUGACUUUGAGAAGUUUUGCCAUGCAAACAAUGGAGCCCUGCCACUGCUGUACCGAAGCAAACCGGGUGAUUGGAAAUGUCCUUCUCUGAGCAGUGAUUCUGAUAUCAGAACUGACUGCCUGCAGUACAGAAUAUAUGAGCACGGAGCUUGCACUGGAUCACUGAAAAGCCUAAAGGAGUAUUCUGAACAACUUAAGGACAUGGUCACUUUUUAUUUAGACUGCAGCUUCUCAUUUGAGAAAGCAGCCCAAAAUGUUGGCAUUCCUGUGAGAUACGUUGAGCAAAAAUGUAAUGUAAGCAUGUAUAAGACAGCUGUGCCUUGCUACAGCGUUUCUACUUUUAGCUGCAACUUAGUAGUCACAAUGAGACCUGUUCCGGAAAGCAAGUUGGAAGCAGCUGUUCAAGCAACAUCUGGGUUAAAAGAAGCCCAUGGAGCACCAAUUCAUAUGGGUGACCCUGGUCUGCUGGGAAUAAAAGAUCUUUCCAAACCAGAUUAUGGAGAUCCAGUUCACCUUCACCCUGGUGAUAUUCCAGUGUUCUGGGCCUGUGGAGUAACAGGAGUAGAAGCCAUCAUCAGCUGCAGAGCUCCAUUAGCAUUUACUCAUUCUCCCAGCCACAUGUUCAUUACCGACCUAAAGAACACUGUCCCCGUCAGAUCCUCAAGAGAAGUCCCACAAGUCCACUGCAUUUCUCAACAUCCUCUGCAGUACAGCAUGGUGUCAGUAGAAGCAGCCCAAAAGAUAAAGACACUGGAGAUGCUAAUUGGAACAGAUCCAGGAGACCGGGGUAUAAUUCAUCUGCACUGCCCGGACGAGCUGCUGAAGGCUUCCCUGUCCCUCUCCCAUGCUCAGUCAGUGCUGAUAACAACUGGAUUUCCUACCCACUUCACUUAUGAUCCACCAGAAGAGAACGACGGGCCCCCGGGAGCCCUUGCUAUUGCAGCCAUGCUGCAGGCCUUGGAGAAAGAGGUUGCCAUAGUAACAGAUCAGAGAGCCAUGAAUCUGAAUAAAAAGAUUAUUGAAGAGGCUGUUCAACUAGGAGUCCUGAAGAAACCUGUCCCUCUAUUGAGUUAUCAAAAUGAAAGUGAUGAUUCAGCUUUAAUGUUUUUGUGUGAGAAUGGGAAUCCUGGAAGACCUAGAUUUGAUCACCUGAUAGCAAUCGAGCGUGCUGGGAUGGCUGCUGAUGGCAAUUAUUACAAUGCCAGGAAAGUUAACAUUAAACAUCUCGUGGAUCCCAUCGAUGAGCUAUUUUUAGCUGCACAAACCAUUCCAGGAGUCAGAACAACAGGUGUUGGAGAUGGAGGAAAUGAAUUAGGAAUGGGCAAAGUAAAAGAUGCUGUAAAGAAGCACAUAAAAAAUGGAGAUGUGAUAGCUUGUGAUGUCGAAGCUGAUUUUACUAUUGUAGCUGGAGUCUCUAACUGGGGAGGCUACGCCAUUGCCUGUGCUCUGUAUAUUCUCAGCACUUGUGAAAUACACGACCGCUAUCUGAGGAAAGCUGUUGGGUUCCCACAGUUAUCGAAGAGGAUGGUCUGGCUGUCAGCGCUUCCAUCGGUGACAAAGAACACCAGUACCUCAUUUAACUUUGUCGCAGCUAAGAACUGAGGUGUUUUACUAGGAAAUAGAAAACAUUUCAUUAUAAAGAGCAUUCAGAAAGCAAGUUACCAAAUCAUACUAAAGUCUCUGCUCAGUGAUCAUGCAAGGAAGAAAAGCUUCUGAAAACACUUGUGCAGCAUGGGGUCCGCAGUGGAAAAACUGCCAGUUUAGAAAUGGAAGUGGAUGGGCUGCCCUUCUACACCACCCACUCACUUCUCAUUGAAAAGCUCCUGCAAGAAGUGCAGCAGUGACUGUGCCCGUGAUUUCUGUAUCAAGAGUUGCUCCCAUGUAAUUUCAUUAUUCCCUGGGCUCUCCUAAGGUCUAAAAGAUCAGAAAAAGAUGACUUUUCCUCUCUGGUGUCUUGGCUGCACAUGACCUUUCAUUGUUACUUUUACAAGAUCUCUGAAUUGAGAGGGGGAUAUCAUUGUGGUGAUUUUGUCUGCCUUUCUUUUCUGUAAUUUUAUAAUGGAUAAUGGAUAUUAAAUGAUAUUAUAUACUAAGAGGUGAUCUGGCUUUUACAAAAAAACUUGUCAUUAAAAGGAAAUAUCACACUGCUGUUCCUGUUUUACUAACCUCAUAACUGCAACAGGAAGUAACUCUUGCAGCAACUCAGAUUUAAAAAUACCUUGUGGUGGGGAAAGCAGCUGCAGUGGAGGGGGGAGGUUCAAAACAAACUACCCCAGUGUUACAGCAGUGAAAGUUGUUAAAUACAGCUCCCACGCACGUGUCAUGGAGCCCCUCCAAUGCUGCUGUCUGAUGGUGGUGGGGAGUUCGUGGAAGUGUGAGGAGAUAAGGGGAGAACUUUAACUGAACUCAUGAAAUGCAGGGCAGCGUUGCAGACCUCCUGUGUAAAGGGUGGGCUGUACCAGUUGCUGCCUUCCUAUUAGUUUGCCAUUUAUAUAUUUUGUCCUUUUCUGGGCAAUACAGAAAAGUUGUAGACACUUCAGGGUACCCUCUUGUUAAGAAUAAAUGAGUUAAAUACGUAAAUAAUGAUUAAAAAUUAAUGCUUAGAAAAUAAAGCAUUAGAAAUUAAAAAUCA
RNA transcript from Columba livia (rock pigeon), 7953 nucleotides. It is a transcript of the gene named D-glutamate cyclase, with no coding region annotated. The transcript has 15 exons. The record is from RefSeq and is a predicted model, not a curated record. Lineage: Eukaryota; Metazoa; Chordata; Aves; Columbiformes; Columbidae.